Molecule: long non-coding RNA, 1642 nt
Organism: Armigeres subalbatus
Lineage: Eukaryota; Metazoa; Arthropoda; Insecta; Diptera; Culicidae
Exons: 3
Source: RefSeq, a predicted model, not a curated record
UCAAGCGCAGUUGGAUUUUCCCGGUACACCUUCUGAAAAGGCCAAAUUGCGGAAACGGGACUCAACCAGGAUAUCACCAGCCGGAAGCUACUUACGACCACGAAAGAUUCGGACGCGGAUUUCAUGUGGAAUCCAAAGGAAUAUAAAGGAAUUCCAGCACAGUCCCACAAAGGCAGCAUCGAACUUGAUAAAUUCACCGGAACCGGCGGGUGUUGUUAACCAUCUUUCUUUGGAUAGCAAUAUUAAAUUGGUAUAACGGAUUCAUACCAGCCACCUUCGAAAUUCCAUCACUGGCUCCGAAAAUUGCUUUUGUCGCCUGCUAAUGCUGCAUUCAAAACAUUCCGGUGAUCUGCUGAACCAAAUAAUACCACAUAAGCCGCCUGCGGGACAGCAACGGAUCAAAGUGAAUGAAAAAACUAUUACUUUUAGCGCAGUGCCAGACUCUUAGACCGUUGACCGGCUGCAGAAUGAUACAGUGCGUGAGAAUAUGGACACAUUGAAUCUUCCGGUAUACAAUCCGAUCUGCUGCCGUCGGACAGGUGCCUCGAUCUUCUCCUGAAUACAUUCUAGGAACACUGCAUAGAGCCUGACCGGUGCGCCUGCUGAUACCGUCAGCGUUUCCGGAACGCUAUGAAUUGCGGAAAAAAACUGAUUCCUACCGAAUUAGCAGCACACGUAUUGGGAAUCUUUUUCGAAAGGGAAAAUAGGCCAGCCAGCAGUGUGAUCUCUUGGUAAACCAGCAGCAGCGGAUUCCCACUGAUCUACCUGGAGUUUCUGGAACGCAAUGGAAUGCACGAAGAGAAGGGUUUUUACCAAAUCAGGACACGCUGAACUUGUUCCGUAUACAGUCAAACCUCCAUGAGUCGAUAUUGAAGGGACCAUCGACUCAUAGAAAUAUCGAGGAGUAGAAUAGAACAUCCUUGGAAAGCUGUUUGAAGGGACCAUCACAGUAACCCAGAAAUAUUUUUUUAAUAUGGCAUAAUUUGCUUCCAUAAGUCGAUAUCGAGUCAUGGAACAUCGACUCAUGGAGGUUUGACUGUACAUACAUCAUUUUCGAAGGGUGGUGGGGAACUUGGCGCAGACCUGUACCGUAGCAAUGCGCAUCGGAAGCAUAAGGAAACCGGAAGCAGCAGCUCUUGGCCCCCAUAACCGUCCAUGUAAUCAAUGAGAUGCGGAUGGUAAAAUCAUCAACAGAACUGGCAGGCAACAACCGUGGAACCAGAUGUAAAUCAUCACCAUCCUACAUACAUCGUGCAGCAAGCAGUAAUGCUGUCGGAUCAUAUUUUGCAUUACACACGCACAACAUAAAACGUGGCUUCUACUCUGUCAAAAAACAAUAUUGAGGGGAAAAUAUACAUAUUUAAAUAAAUAUCGUAGACGCCCCCGAAUGUCCCUGGUUGCUGUGGCAUCCUCAUCUUUGAUGGCUCAUUCUUUCUUCAGGUCUCAUCGGUAAUGCAUAGUUUUCUCUAUAGCUGAUGGGAAAAUGUCUGGUAGCAAAUAGCAAGCCUCGAUAAAAUUUACUAUAUUUCCGUAAACGCAUAAUAGUUGGAUUUAAAAAAAUAUCGAAUGACUAGGUAAAACCGUAACUGCUUCCAGACAUUGAACUGAAAUUCCGUUCUUAGCAAACCAUGAAACUUUGGUA